GAUUACUAAAAUAUACCCUAUAUUGGUAUACACGAAUUAGGUUGAGCUAUUUGAAGAUAUCUAUUAGGGUAUAAUUUAUGUGUUGUAUUACAUAUAAAAUAUCUUCAAAUAGGGGUGACAUGCUAUACAAAUACUAGGAUAUCUUGAAGUAUAAUAAAUAUAUUAGUAUUUUUAGACAAAUAUAUAGUGAUUAGGCUUUAUAUUAGCAUUAUUUAAUUAAUCUCUAAUAAUAAAAUAUAUAACUAUAAUUAUUUUAUAAAUACCAACAUUAAAUAAUAAUAUAAUAUGCAGCAUAUUAUAUUUUAGAAUUUCACGAGUUUAUUCUAUAUAUAAUGUAAUUAUUAGUAAAAAAAUGUAGUUCAGAGAGAGGAACUCGGCAAAUAUCUUUUUCAACUGUUUACCAAAAACAUUGCUUUAUGUAUACUAUAUAAGGUUAACCCUGCUCAAUGGUAUUACUAAAUAGCCGCAGUACCUUGACUGUGCAAAGGUAGCAUAAUAAAUUGGCUUAUAAUUGAAGUCUAGUAUGAAUGGGUAUUUGGAAAUAUACUGUCUUUAUUCUGAGUAUGUUGAAAUUAAUUAUAAAGUGAAAAUGCUUUAAAAUACAGGUUAGACGAGAAGACCCUAUGAAAUUUUUUUAUAUAUGAACGGUUUUUAUUUUGUUGGGGCGACAGGGUAGCAAUUAAACCUACCUAUUUAUACACUAGAAUUUUCUUUGAUGAAUGAAUAAAUUACUCUAGGGAUAACAGCAUAAUAUAUAAAAGUUUGUGACCUCGAUGUUGGACUAGGGAAAGUAUUACCUAGAAGGGAAUAUUGUUAGCUCUGUUCGAGCAUAUUACCCCUACAUGAUCUGAGUUCAGACCGG
RNAcentral lists this ribosomal RNA (862 nucleotides) under Stygius aculeatus. RNAcentral's name for it is "partial 16S ribosomal RNA". The stretch from base 388 to 542 matches the Rfam family "Archaeal large subunit ribosomal RNA", at positions 1886 to 2087 of the family's 2987-position model. Lineage: Eukaryota; Metazoa; Mollusca; Gastropoda; Stylommatophora; Hygromiidae. The record is from RNAcentral.